Molecule: long non-coding RNA, 3286 nt
Organism: Astyanax mexicanus (Mexican tetra)
Lineage: Eukaryota; Metazoa; Chordata; Actinopteri; Characiformes; Acestrorhamphidae
Exons: 2
Source: RefSeq, a predicted model, not a curated record
AUGCUAAUCCACACCGUUAGCAUUGCAUCUGUCCCCCUCCGCAGCGCGAUGCGCGCACGAGACACACAGGCACACCGUGCACAUGCAUCGCACAAAACAGAAACGUGCGCAUGCAUGCAUACAUGCACGCACAUAUGCAUGCUUCUGGACCGCGCUGCACCGGGGUCUUUGCUCGGCCCAAAGGUCAAGGGUCACGGCAGGCACGUGGACAAGAAGAGGCCAAAUCCUGGUCAGUGUGUUUAAUACAGAGCAAUAAAACAAUAAAACACCCUGUUUAUAUUCUAACACAAAAACACACAAAGUAUAUGUCUAAAUAAAAUAUGUCACAAGCAUCAAACCACCAAACUGAACUGCUUGAAUUUUUGCACCAGGAGUAAAGCAGCAUAAAGUUAUCCAAAAGCAGUGUGUAAGACUGGUGGAGGAGAACAUGAUGCCAAGAUGCAUGAAAAAAAACUGUGAUUAAAAAUCAGGGUUAUUCCACCAAAUAUUGAUUAUUUCUGAACUCUUAAAACUUUAUGAAUAUGAACUUGUUUUCUUUGCAUUAUUUGAGGUCUGAAAGCAAUAUAUAUAUUUAUAAUUCAAAGGUUGCUGCUAAAAUGAGACUAAGUCCUUAAUCAUCUGUAAUUUCUCUAAAGAAAAGAAAGAACUUCUACGUUUAAUAGUUACAGAGUUCUCAGUGUUUCUGGGUCUUUUUCUAGUUAUUUAGUUAUUAGUUGUGUGUAAGUGUGUAAAUACUGCAGUAGAGAGUAACAGCAGUAACUCCAUCUGUUCCACCACUGCAGCUUUACUACAGAUAAAUACAUUUUUUAAUCACUUUUCAAAGCUCAGUUUUUAUUUUAUUUUAGUGCGGCUGUAAAUAUUUUUUUAACAUUUUAUUUUACAAUAUUAAACUGACUUUUUUUCUGUUUUUAAUCUGUUGCUAAUUUGUUUUUCAUAAAGGCCCUGAUAAAGUUUUUUUAUUUUAUUAAAUAUUUCAAUAUAUUAUAGAAUUUAGUUUUUUCUAAUUAUUGACUGAACCUGAAGGCAAAAUAUACUUAAACAUAUAAAAUAUCAUGAUAUUUAAAUGUGUCCCAGAAUUCAUACAGCUUCAUUUUGGAGGGGCUGAAGACACUUUCUGCUGCAUGUUCAGGAAUCAGCAAUUAAUAAUAAUAUUGAUCUUGCUUAAUAAUUCUCAUAUUGUCUCUAUACUGAGCUUAAAGAGUUAAAGCUUUAUUUGUCCACUCUGUCACGAUAAAAUAUAUCAGUAAUUAAAAUCAUUUUCUGUAGUCUGAAGUCUUUUAAAUAUGAUAAAUAUGAUUUUUUGUUACAGUAAUAUGCAAAAAAUAUAUAAAAAAUAAAUUUCACUCUUUUUUUUUUGUUUUAGAUACAAAAAGCUUAGUAUUUUGAUAUUGACCCUCAUAAUAAUGGAUGUCUGGAGAAUUUUGGACAUAAAACGUUUCGGCAUCAGUCCAACAUGUUAUUGCCCACUAAAGGGUCCAGUCUACACCAUUAAACCCAGUCUGUACACACUGCUGCCCAGUGCCUCGCUGUAAUUAUGACAUAAGAACAUUAAAAGUGAGUGUUUUUUUCUCUUUCGCAGGAUCAAUACGCUGUCUCUCCGCCUGCUCCAAUCAUGGAUUCCCAAUAACGCAUUGCUUUUAUUAUUGUUUUUAAUUGAUGUUUCUUGUUUUAAAUCAUAUUAGAAAGUAUCCUUGACAGAAGCUGCCGCCCCCUACAGACGUCCACGGCCGCACAUGUGAAGCAUUUCUUAAUGGGGAGGUAUUGACCAGGCCUGGUGCAGCCGCUCGGAGAAGGAGCCGUGGAAAAGUGAUUUAUGGCAUCUGUAAGCAAAACACUGCAGAGAUGCACGGCCUCAGUGGGACAGUUCCCGCGGCCGUUAGGGAACCAACAUUACAUUAAAAGCAUGUCUCACGUCCCUCACUGCAGAGAACAGAGCGCCGCAGGACGCUGAUGCAGUUGUUUAAUCAGCUGUUAUAUAAAAUAUGACAUUUUAUGGGUCUAAAAGUUUGUGGACACCAGUUUCUUUAUUGUUUCUUCUUGUUUUAAGGAUGGAAACUAUCUGCUACAGCCUGUAAUUAUCUGUAAUUCUGUAUAAUUGUCUGUGAUCACAUUCAGACUCAGAAAAGCAUCAGUAAAGUCAGGUAGUGAUGUUGAGAUGAUUGAACUCGUCACCGUUACCUGGAUCUCCUACUGUAUGAUCUUGAUUUAGUGGAUCAGAUACAGCAGUGCUGCUGGAGUUUUUAAACACCUCAGUGUCACACCUGUAUUGAGAAUAGUCCACCAACAGCGUGCUGGAAGAUUCAUCCUGUGGGCAGUGUCCUGGAAGAUUUGUCCUGUGGGCAGUGUCCUGGAGGAUUCGUCCUGUGGGCAGUGUCCUGGAGGAUUCGUCAUGUAGGCAGUGUCCUGGAGGAUUCGUCCUGUGGGCAGUGUCCUGGAGGAUUCGUCAUGUAGGCAGUGUCCUGGAGGAUUCGUCCUGUGUGGCGGCGUCCUGGGGGAUUCGUCCUGUGGGCAGUGACCUCGAGAAUUCAUCCUGUGGGCAGUGUCCUGGACGAUUCGUCCUGUGGGCAGUGUCCUGGAGGAUUCGUCAUGUAGGCAGUGUCCUGGAGGAUUCUUCCUGUGGGCAGUGUCCUGGGGGAUUUGUCCUGUGGGCAGUGACCUCGAGAAUUCAUCCUGUGGGCAGUGUCCUGGGGGAUUUGUCCUGUGUGGCGGUGUCUUGUGGGCAGCAUCCUUUCAGAAAAGUAUUUUCGGAAAAAUCCUGAGGGAUGGGUCUUGGGGGAUUUGUCCUGUGGGCAUCAUCCUUUCGGAAGUGUCCUUUUGGAAGAGUCCUGGGGGACGUGUCCUGUUGGCAGUGUCCUUUCGUAAGAGUCCGGGGGGAGGGGGUGGGGGUGUUAUGUGGGCAAUGUCCUGUGGCCAAAGUCCUUUCAGAAGAGUCCUGGGGGAUGGGUCCUGUUGACCAAUUGGUCCUUAUUACUCAGUUGACAAUGUGAUAAUUGUGUAUUUUUGUUUACAUAUAUAACAGUGAACAGUAUUUUAGCUGGUAAUGCUAAAUGACCAAUAUUUUUGUUUUUUUUUUAAUAACAGAAAAGUCAGUUUUGAUUCAUGAAUCUGAAUUUUAUUGUAUGUUUUUCUCUCGCUGCAAAAAUGUGCAUUACAUUACAUUACAUUCAACCGUAUGAACUGAAUUAUAAAUAAAUAAAAUGAAACAAAAUAAAAACGCUGUUAUUUAAUCUGUUCUGUGUUUCUCUCUGAUUUCCUACAUUGUUCUGAUCAAACAGAUCAAAGCAAA